AACUCCUGGCCAGGCCCUGUCCUCCCCACGUACCCCUGCAUCCCCAGCCUCAACCCAGGGACACGCAGGGCUCACAGGAGACGGGGCUCAGGCUGCCGGAGCUCCAACCAAACUCUGUCCCACUUCACGCAUCGAUUGUCUUGGGCAAAGGUGUUCACCUUUCCGAGCCUCGGUUUCCUUAUCUGUAAAGCAGAGCGACACCAGCAAGCCUGUGAGCAUUGUGUAUGUAGCAGACAUGGAGGUCCUGCAGCAGGAGGUGCUCAAUAAACACAAAGCGAUCGAAGGAUGGGAUGUGCGAGAACCCCAGUCAUGAGCACCCAGGCUGCGACACAUGGCGGUGUGCAUGACCAACUGCCCAACGCUUAUUGUCAUGGUGGGCCUGCCCGCCAGGGGCAAGACCUACAUCUCCAAGAAGCUGACUCGAUACCUGAACUGGAUUGGUGUGCCCACUCGGGAGUUCAAUGUUGGCCAGUAUCGCCGGGACAUGGUCAAGACCUACAAAUCUUUCGAAUUUUUUCUCCCCGACAAUGAAGAGGGCCUGAAAAUCAGGAA
This 552-nucleotide small RNA is filed under the name Pongo abelii (Sumatran orangutan). Its description in RNAcentral is "processed transcript". The record is from RNAcentral. Lineage: Eukaryota; Metazoa; Chordata; Mammalia; Primates; Hominidae.